UGGGGAAUAUUGGACAAUGGGGGAAACCCUGAUCCAGCAAUGCCGCGUGUGUGAAGAAGGCCUUCGGGUUGUAAAGCACUUUCAGUGGGGAAGAAAGACCUAAGAAUAAUACUCUUAGGAGGUGACGUUACCCACAGAAGAAGCACUGGCUAACUCUGUGCCAGCAGCCGCGGUAAUACAGAGAGUGCGAGCGUUAAUCGGAAUUACUGGGCGUAAAGCGCACGUAGGUGGAUACUUAAGUCGAAUGUGAAAGCCCCGGGCUUAACCUGGGAAUUGCAUCCGAUACUGGGUAUCUAGAGUAUGGUAGAGGGAAGUGGAAUUUCCGGUGUAGCGGUGAAAUGCGUAGAUAUCGGAAAGAACACCAGUGGCGAAAGCGGCUUCCUGGACUAAUACUGACACUUAGGUGCGAAAGCGUGGGGAGCAAACAG
This 428-nucleotide ribosomal RNA is filed under the name uncultured bacterium. Its description in RNAcentral is "bacterial SSU rRNA". It matches the Rfam family "Bacterial small subunit ribosomal RNA", at positions 355 to 775 of the family's 1533-position model. The record is from RNAcentral.